RNAcentral lists this ribosomal RNA (253 nucleotides) under uncultured bacterium. RNAcentral describes it as "partial 16S ribosomal RNA". It matches the Rfam family "Bacterial small subunit ribosomal RNA", at positions 524 to 776 of the family's 1533-position model. The record is from RNAcentral.
GACAGAGGGGGCAAGCGUUGUCCGGAAUUACUGGGCGUAAAGGGCGCGUAGGCGGCCUGCUAAGUCGGAUGUGAAAUCCCUCGGCUCAACCGAGGAACUGCAUCCGAUACUGGCGGGCUUGAAUCCGGGAGAGGGAUGUGGAAUUCCUGGUGUAGCGGUGAAAUGCGCAGAUAUCAGGAGGAACACCUACGGCGAAGGCAGCUCGCUGGGACGGUACUGACGCUGAGACGCGAAAGCGUGGGGAGCAAACAGG